This 480-nucleotide ribosomal RNA is filed under the name uncultured Alteromonas sp. RNAcentral's name for it is "bacterial SSU rRNA". It matches the Rfam family "Bacterial small subunit ribosomal RNA", at positions 8 to 478 of the family's 1533-position model. Lineage: Bacteria; Pseudomonadati; Pseudomonadota; Gammaproteobacteria; Alteromonadales; Alteromonadaceae. The record is from RNAcentral.
AGAGUUUGAUCAUGGCUCAGAUUGAACGCUGGCGGUAGGCUUAACACAUGCAAGUCGAGCGGAAACGAAGAAAAGCUUGCUUUUCAGGCGUCGAGCGGCGGACGGGUGAGUAACGCGUAGGAAUCUGCCUAGUAGUGGGGGACAACCUGUGGAAACGCAGGCUAAUACCGCAUAAUCCCUGAGGGGGAAAGGAGGGGAUCUUCGGACCUUUCGCUAUUAGAUGAGCCUGCGUGAGAUUAGCUAGUUGGUGAGGUAAAGGCUCACCAAGGCGACGAUCUCUAGCUGGUCUGAGAGGAUGAUCAGCCACACUGGGACUGAGACACGGCCCAGACUCCUACGGGAGGCAGCAGUGGGGAAUAUUGGACAAUGGGCGCAAGCCUGAUCCAGCCAUACCGCGUGUGUGAAGAAGGCCUUAGGGUUGUAAAGCACUUUCAGAAGGGAGGAAAGGUUGAUGUUUAAUACGCAUUAGCUGUGACGUAC